CCACCUCACAAGCCAUUCAAGUUUUCCUAUAAUACAAAAGUCUGAGGCCAAUUCCAAAUAUCAUUCCACAUCCAUAUCCUAUAACCACUGGUUCCCAUCCAAAUCCAAAUCUCUCUUCUCCCAAUAAGCUCGGAGAAGAUGGAGGUUUUUGUUCAGUGUUGUUGCAACUCAUUGACAAUGGGAACCCACAUAAUCCCGAGUUUCCUAGGUAGGAGUCAUUUGAAAAAGUCGCAAACUGUUUUCCUUGAGGUAUUUCUCCCACAAGCUGGUUAUUGGAAAGAUUCAGGACUUCAAGAUAGUUCAGAUUGGUUAAUUCUGUUGGAAUCCUACCAGUAAACAUAUUUGAGGAGAGAUCCAUUGAUUCUAAAUUUGUCAAAUAUCCAAUGGAUUUGGGAAUAAGACCACUUAAUCUGUUAUGGGAAAAAUUGAGUCCUCUAAGAGCAUGAAGCUCUCCAAUUACAUAUGGAAUUUGUCCUUGAAAUUUGUUUUGGGAUAAAUCAAUGGUUACAAAGUUUUUCGGAAUUUGUUUCAAUGUCAUACUUAUCGCUUUUGUUGUUACAGUUACAUAUCCAAUUGUACCUCUUUGGGACCCAUUAUAUGGCAUAUAUGUAAUGCCAAUGUAUAGCUCAUCCCCUUCAUAUGAAAUGACAUUCUUCAUGGCUUUAAAAUUUUGUAUAUAGGUUUUUGGUAUUGGACCAUUGAAAUAGUUGGAUGAGAUAUCAAAAAUAACUAUACUUGAAAAUUCAUACUGCGUCUCUAAAUCGUCAAUGGGACCGUACAAUUUGUUGGAUCGCAAAACCAAUACUGUCAACAUUGGUAGAGUUUGAAGCCAAUGGGGAAAUUUAUCCUCAAUUUGAUUGUUGCCAAGAUUCAAGAUCUCCAACUGUGUGCAAUUGGACAAAGAUUUUGGCAAAGGACCUUCCAAUUGGUUGUCAUUAACAUUAAAAUAAGCGAGCUCACUAUUCAUUGAGAAGUUAUUUGGUAAAGUGCCAUUUAGUUUGUUCCUCUGUAGAUCCAAAAUAUAAAGGCCCCACAAGUUUGCAAGGCAUGGUGGAAUGACGCCUGUCAACUUAUUGUGGGACAAGAUGAGAACUUGAAGAUUACUUGCAUUACAAAUUGAGGAAGACAUGUCACCAGUGAGUAAAUUGAAACUAAUAUCAAGGAUAUUGAGGUUGUAGUUCCUUGAGAAUUGGUUUAUUGGAGUUGUCAACAAGUUGUGGGAUAGGCUCAAAAAUUGUAAUGAACCCAUUUCAUGUAACCACUUGGGCAUUGUUCCAUUCAAUUUGUUGUUGGAUAGAUCAAGCUCUAUCAAAAUUGGGAUUUUUCCUAGUAAUUUUGGAAAUUCAGUUAAACCCACAGAAGAUAAAUACAAUCUCUCUAAGAGAGGAGCAUUGGUGAAAAUUGUAUAGUUAUGAAGACCAUUGAAGUUGUUUGAUGAUAGACAUAAGUGAGUUAGGUUUACAAGGGUGAAGACUGAUUGUGGAAUAUUGCCAUGUAGCUUGUUGUAGCACAAAUAUAGAGACUUCAAGGAUUGAGAUGAGAUUGAAGGUAUAUGGCCUGUGAACUGAUUCUCUGAUAGAUCCAAUUCUUGCAAAAAUGGCAAAGAUAAACACCAAGUAGGAAUUGUCCCAUUUAGUAAGUUGUCUGUGAAGAAUAAAAAAGUUAGAUUUGAAAGCCCUGUUAUUUUGUUUGGUAGAGGGCCCUCCAAUCUAUUCUCUGAAAGAUCCAAGUGAAGAAGAUGUUGAAGAUUUGAAAGUGAGGAUGGAAUUUGGCCACUGAAUCGAUUGUAUCCAAGAUCCAAAAAUGUAAGAUGUGGAAGGGUUAAGAUUGAGGAUGGGAUUGAACCCUUGAGAUAGUUACUUGAGAGAUCGAGGAACGUAAUAUGUGUGAAGUUGGAGAAAGAGGCAGGGAUUGUCCCCUCCAACAUGUUCCUUGAAAGAUCCAACAUAGUGAGAGAAGCAGCACUGCAACUCAAGUUAGGAAACUGCUCAAGACUAUUAUCUGACAACCAUAAGUGUUUAAGUUUUGGUAAACAUAAGAUGUCAGUUUUCAAGUUUUCCUGAACUCCGGUGUAUUUAAGACUAAGAUUAACCAAAGAGGUAGAUAGAUUGAGUGACCUCAUCGAACUAAAAGUCAUAUUUACACCAUCCAAAAUAAGCUCCGCUAAAACUGUUGCAUUUUGAAGGAACUUCUUCCAACUGUUUUCUUUCCACAUUAACCUAGUAAAAGAGAGAUCAAGUGAUUCCAAUUUGGAAAGUUGUGAGAUUUGGGAGGGAAUUUCACUUCGAAAUUCAUAGUUAGAUAUAUUGAGGUGUGUGAGGUUCACAUACCCAACAGAAGGAAAUGAUAAUUGAGAGGAGUAAAAGUAAUUGAAAGUAAGAUUAAGUGAUUGAAGAUGAGAAAGACGGAAAAGAGAAGUGUUUGGAUGGAUUUCACCUGAAAGACGAUUGCAAGCGAGGUCAAGGCCUAUGACGUGACCAGAGAUGGGAUGGCAAAGAACCCCAGACCAUGAACAACAAUCUGUUCCAUUUUCCCAGGUUGACAUCUUUGGAACAAAAUUAUCACAAUCAGAAUAAUAAUAGUCAUGAACAUAAGCAAGAGAGUUCUUGAAUUGGAGCAACGCAAUUUUGUCGUGAAGAUGACAUAAGGAAUGAGAGAAUGAGAAGAGAAAGAGAAACCAAUGGGAACAUAAAAGAAGAAACCAACCCACCCAUGACUCCAUUUGAAAGUGUAUUUAAUGAAAAGUGUUAAGUGUGAUUUAAUUAAAGGAAUGAAAGAUGAAGAUUUAUAGCCAAAAUAAAAUAGGAUAUGAAGAUGAACACGGCAUCACUCAGCUUAUAAUAUUUUCAUUAAUGUUUCAAUUUCCAAAUUGCCUUGAAAGACGGGGCAUAUGGGUUGAUUUUCAUCUUCAAAUAAUGUAUUAUACUUUUCCACCAAAAUGGAAUUGACUUUAAGUCAAUGCCCCAAAAAUUGGGACUUGGGUUUACUAUUCUUCGUGUUUCGUGUUUCUUGGGUUUAACGGUAAAAAGUGGAAUUAAGUAAAUAUUGUAUUCUUCCUUACAAUCUUUAUCGUGAACAAAAUGCUAUUAUUUUUAUCUUUUAGAUACAUUUUCUAUUUCUUUUUGUAGCAUUUUUUAAUUUUUUUCAUAUUUUUUUCAUCUGCUAACCAUAUAAAGAAUACCAUUUUAAAACAAAAUUAAAGAUAUUGAUUUUAUUUUAUUUUCUUAGUAUAGUUUUCUAGGUUAUAAUGUGUAUUUUAGUUGAGUGUGUAGACUCAAACGCUUUAAUUUUAAUUCAUACAUCACAAUGAAUUUUUAAUGAGACCUUUAAUUAGUUAGCCUUUUGUGUUAAUGGUUUCAUUUAUCUGAAAAUUUAAAAAAUGAAUUAGUUAAAAAUAACACUACAUAUUAAAGAACUUUUACUUGGAGAGUUGAAAUUGAUGGUAUGAUAGAUAGAAAAAUAAACACUACAUUAGAAAACUUAUAUUUAAAAAUAUACAACAACUUUUAAUUUAACCAAUAGUGACAAUUUAAUUCAAUAUUUUUUAGUGCUUAUGAUCUAUCUUUUAUCUUUCUAUUCAAGAAUUUCAAGUUUCAGACUGAAUUGCAGGUAAAUGUUUAGUAUCUUUGGAAGGCUGAAAUAAAUGUUAAGAGUUAAAGUACUAACUAUUUUUUAAAAUAGCUUGUGAUUCUUAUAAUUUUUUUUUAUAAAUUUGAUGAUUAUGAAUUUUUUAAUAUAGGUUUAUUUUAUUUUAAAUAUAUAAGUAAUGUAUUUAUAUUAAAAUUUUGUGGUGAUAUUUAUAUUAACAUGUUUUUGUUAGUUUAAGACUAAAAUAAAUGUAAGAGUUUUGGUCUUCUUACCAACUAAAAAAGUAUGAAUAAACGUACUAACAAUUUUUUAUUUCUUUCAUGAUUUCGGAAUUGGAUGGUUUUUUUUUUAAUAUAUGUUUAUUUUGUUUUUAAAAAUAUUUCAAUAAUGUAUAUACAUUAUUGUUGUCUUUAUUAAGACUUUUGUGGAUGAUAUUAAUUUGUUGUUGUGAGUUUGAAACUAAAGAAUAUAUAAAUAUCUUUCAAUAUUGUUUGUGAUUAAAACUCAUACAAAACAAAUAAAAUUUUGUAUAAAUUUAUGUAAAUGUAUACAUAAUUAGUAAUCAUUAAACUCAUUCAAAAAGUCUACUGAUACAUUCACAUUGUAGACAAUAUAAACCUUCAAACAUACAUGCUAAUAUCAUUAUAACAUAAUAUAAAAUAUUUGUUGCCUCUAUUUGGACUUUUGUGGUAGUGUUUAUCCUGACCUACAUGUAUGAGUUGUUUGUGAUUUUUUGCAUUUUUUUAAAAUUCAUGAUUCUUUUAGUUUUUAAUAUAGAUUUAUUUAUUUUAUUUACAAUAUAUUUGCCUUUACUUGAAUUUUUGUGUUAUCAUUGAUUAUGUUAACAAGCUUUAUGAAUUUGAGACUAAAACAAAUGUUAAGAAAUUAGGGUUUUAGUAAAACUGAAGCAUAAGAUAAAAAAAACUAACAAACUAAUUGUUUUUUAAUACUGUUUGUAACAGCGUAAAAAGAUAAAAGCAGAGCCACACCCCUCUCCCCACACAGUGCCUUUUAUUUUCUUUUUCUUUUUCUCUCUUCAUAUUCUUUUCUCUUCCUCUUUUUUAAUUUUCUCUCCCAAUAUUCAUCUAUUUUAGAAUCUAAUCGGACCACGUUGUAGCUGACGAGUUAAGGAACAUUUCUACCCUAUCAGAUUUUCAAACAGAGUAAGUUCAUUUUUGCUCUAAAGUUCCUUUGUUCUUUAUUUUUCCUUAAGAUUUAGUCAUCAAUCUUGGUGGGGUCAGUUGAGAAGUUUAAUCCUCUCAACUUAUUCUACUAUAUACUGAAUUUUUGUUCUGUUUGGAUAACUUGCAUUAGGCCCGUAAAUCUUGAAGUUUAUCGACGGUGGGAAAUAAAAUUCUAAAAGUUGCUUGAGGUAAGGGAAGCUAAAUUUAAUUUUUAAUAGCACCCUAGGAUAGAAGAUAUGAAUGCGAAAAGGACGUGGUCCCAAUAUUCAAUUUUUCUUGCAGGGAUGUUGUGUGUUAUAUAUAUUGGGUUGUUUGUUUAUAUAUUAUUUAAAUUUGUGGAAAUAUUAGGUUUUGAUGAUUUAGUAUUAAAGUGUUAUUUUUUUUAUGUCAAAUAGACUUUUGAAUAUUGUGGAUUACUUUUGAAAUGAUAUUGUAUGACGGAAUGGUAUGGAAUUGAAUUCAUACAUUUGGGAUAAUGUAUGGACUGAUGUUUGUUGUGUAUUAAGUAUUGAUGCCUAUGUGGUAACAGAGAUCUCCGAGCUUCACUGAUGAUCUAAGUCACAUAGAUUAAGACAUCAGGUGGUGAGAAGCUGAUGGGGGAGUUCAUGCACACCGUGACAUAUGAGAUGUACGACUUUGGUUGUAUUGAACUUACCCUGAUCUUUUCUGUUGGAUUCGCUGAUAAUCUUUGGAUCAGGUGUUAGUCUCUGGUAGGACUGACUUAAUACGGAUCUUCCGGAAGACGUUGUUUGUUGAAUAUUCUGGAUGUGUAGAUCCAUGUGAGAUCUAUGUGAUUGUUUUAUGUUGGAAUUUGAAGAAGAUUGAAUAAUUGAGAAAUUGACCAUGUAAUUUGAUUUUCUCUUUUAAUUUAAUUUCAUAUAUUAUAAAAUUUUAUUUUCACUAGCUUACCCUUGCUUUUUGUGUUGUGUUUAAACUGCGAUGACUGUACUAUGUACACGAGCAGAUGACCAUACAGGUGCAGGAAAGUCUUAGAGGUUUCAGAGUUUUAUUUUUAGCUAUGAAUAUGUAAAUAUUUGUAUUUCUAUAAAUCCUAAUAAUGUAUUAGGAAUGUUUUGAAAAACUUCAAAUUUGUAUAGAAAUACGUAGAACUUGUAUUGUAAUAGUUAGAUAUUAUUUUCUGGGGUGUUACACUGUUUAUGUGUUUCUUCCGUUCUUUCAAAUUUGGAUCAUUCUUGAUUUUUUAAUAUAUAUUUAUUUUAUUUUAAAAAUAUCUGAUUAAUGUAUUUAUAUUAUUUUUGUCAUUUUAGGACUUUUGUGUCCAACAUAGGAAUUGAGUUGGAGUCGGUGCCGACAAAAAUGAGAAACAUGCCAGAUAAAUAUUUUAAAUAAACAAAAUGAGUUUAAUAUGACAUCAUUUUGCAGUAAUUAGCUACAAAAUCACUUAUUUUAUCUGUUUAUAAAUAAAAAAAUAAAAAAAUUUCAUGAUAAAAUGCAUGAAUACAUGGAUGAUAAAAUUUGUCAAAUGAUGAUAAUUUAACGGUAAAAUGUGUAAUUUAGUAAAUAUGUUAUUCUUUCUUAUAAUCUUUAUCGUCAACAAAAUGUUAUUAUUUUUAUCUUUUCAAAUACUUUUUCUAUUCUUUUUAGCAUUUUUAAUUUUUUAAUAUUAUUUAUUUAUUUGUCAUCUGUUAAUCAAAUAAAUACUACUAUAGUUAAAAACAAAUAUAGAUAUUGAUUUGAUUAUAAAUUGUUUAAGAAUUAAAAGGUAUUUACCAAACUUGUUGAAGAGAAUCAACUUAAUUAUAAGUACUUAUGUACGAGCUGACAAUAAAAAUAAAUAAAUAAAUAUAUUUACUACAACAUUAUAUUGCCAAUUUGUCUUGUUUUUUUUUAACUUGUACAAUACAUACGUUUAUAACUUGGAGGAUGAAGUAGAUGUAAGAGUUUAGGAUGUUUAUAAAAAUUAAGCAAAAGCAUAAAAAUCUAGAUUUUUAUUGUGAUGUUUAUAUUAACUUUAUCAUGAUAUGUUAAUAAUAUAGUUAUACAUUAUAAUGGUGACUCCAUUAUAAUCACCUCAUAACACCAUUUAAUCUUUUAAGAUAUUUUUAUAACCUUCAGGUUUAGUUCAUCUAUACCAGAAUAUCUAUCAUUCAUUUUCAUUCAAACUUGUAAUAUGUAUAAUAAAAUGUUUGUUUCUUUGGAUAAGAAUUCAAAGUGAAAAAUCAAUAAAUAACUUGAGACAGAAAUUGUGAAUAACGUUGUUUUUUCAUUUGUUAUGCUUUAAACAAUAAAAAGAGUUAUAAUAUAUUUUAGAUAAAUUAAUGUUAAAAAUUUGUAAUUUCUUUUAGAUUUGAUAUGUACUAUCAUUUUAAUAUUACGCUUUGAUUGUUAGGUUAAAUAUGUCAAAAGAAAGUGAGUUUAUUUCUUUCACAAACAAAAUUUGAAGAUGCAGACAAAGGAAAUGUGGCAACAAAAGUAGAACACAUUUAUUUCACAAGUAAACAUUGAUCAAAUCUCUCAUACAAUAUGAUGUGAUAAGAUUCUUGAUUUACAUUGAAAUUAAACAAAAACAAGUGCAUAGAACAUUCUCCACUUAUUUAUUUUGCUACAAUUCUCAUGACUUCUUUUUCCCCAUUAUAUUAAGACCACCUCACAAGCCAUUCAAGCUUUCCUAUAAUACAAAAGUCUGAGGCCAAUUCCAAAUAUCAUUCCACAUCCAUAUCCUAUAACCACUGGUUCCCAUCCAAAUCCAAAUCUCUCUUCUCCCAAUAAGCUCGGAGAAGAUGGAGGGUUUUGUUCAGUGUUGUUGCAAUUCAUUGACAAUGGAAACCCACAUAAUCCCGAGUUUCCUAGGUAGGAGUCAUUUGAAAAAGUCGCAAACUGUUUUCCUUUAGGUAUUUCUCCCACAAGCUGGUUAUUGGAAAGAUUCAAGACUGCUAGAAAGUUCAUAUUGGUUAAUUCUGUUGGAAUCCUACCAGUGAACAUAUUUGAAGAGAGAUCCAAUGAUUCUAAGUUUGUCAAAUAUCCAAUGGAUUUGGGAAUAAGACCACUUAAUCUGUUAUGGGAAAAAUUGAGUCCUCUAAGAGCGUGAAGCUCUCCAAUUACAUAUGGAAUUUGUCCUUCAAAUUUGUUUUGAGAUAAAUCAAUGGUAAAAAAGUUUCUUGGAAUUUUGUGGAGUGUCAUACUUAUCGCUUUUGUUGUUACAGUUACAGAUUCAUACAUAUAUUCAGUUAUAUAUAGAAUCAUAACAUUUAGGGAUGCACUGACUUGAGUAAGUGGUGUGUUCAUGUAGAACUCGCUCCCUUUAUAUUUAAUGACAUUCUUCAUGGCUUUAAAAUUUUGUAUAUAGGUUUUUGGUAUUGGACCAUUGAAAUAGUUGGAUGAGAUAUCAAAAAUAACAAUACUUGAAAACCCAUACUUUGUCUUUAAAUUGGCAAUGGGACCAUAGAAUUUGUUGGCUCGCAAUACCAAUAUUGUCAACUCUGGUAGAGUUUGAACCCAAUGGGGAAAUUUAUCCUCAAUUUGAUUGUUGCCAACAUCCAAGAUCUUCAGUUUUAUGCAAUUAGACAAAGAUUCUGGCAAAAGACCUUCCAAUUGGUUGUUAUUGAGAUUCAAAAUAGUGAGAUAACUAUUCAUUGAAAAGGUAGUUGGUAAAGUGCCAUUUAGUGUGUUAUUUUUUAGAUCCAAAACAAAAAGGAAUUGCAAGUUUACAAGGCAUGAUGGAAUGACGCCUGUCAACUUAUUGUGUGACAAGCUGAGAAUGAUAAGAUUACUUAUUUUACAAAUUGAGGAAGACAUGUCGUCAAUGAGUAAAUUGAAACUAAUAUCAAGGAACCUGAGAUUGUAGUUCCUCGAGAAUUGGUUCAUUGGAGUUGUCAACAAGUUGUGGGAUAGGUUCAGAACUUUUAAUGAAUCGAUUUUAUGUAACCACUCGGGCACUGCUCCAUUCAAUUUGUUGUCAGAUAGAUCGAGCUUUGUUAGCAUUGGGAAUUUUCCUAAUAAUUUUGGAAAUUUAGUUAAACCCACAGAAGAUAAAUACAAUCUCUCUAAGCGAGGGGUGUUGGUGAAGAAUGAAGAGUUAUGAAAAUUACUGAAGUUGUUUGAUGAUAGACAUAAGUGAGUUAGGUUUACAAGGGUGAAGACUGAUUGUGGAAUAUAUCCAUGUAGCUUGUUGUAGCACAAAUAUAAAGACUCCAAGGAUUGAGAUGAGAUUGAAGGUAUAUGUCCAGUGAACUGAUUAUCUGAUAGAUCCAGUUCUUUCAAAAAUGGCAAAGAUAAACACCAAGCAGGAAUUGUCCCAUUUAGUAAGUUAUCAUUGAAGGAUAAAAAAGUUAGGUUUGAAAGCCCUGUUAUUUUGUUGGGUAGAGGACCCUCCAAUCUAUUCUCUGAAAGAUCCAAGUGAAGAAGAUGUUGAAGAUUUGAAAGUGAGGAUGGAAUUUGGCCAUAGAAUUGAUUGUAUCGAAGAUCCAAAACAGUUAAAUAUGGAAGGGUUAAGAUUGAGGAUGAGAUUGAAUCUUUGAGAUAGUUACUUGAGAGAUUGAGGGAAGUAAGAUGUGUGAAGUUGGAGAAAGAGGCAGGGAUUGUCCCCUCCAACAUGUUCCAUGAAAGAUCCAACAUAGUGAGAGAAGCAGCACUGCAACUCAAGUUCGGAAAAUACUCAACACUAUUCUCUGACAAGCAUAAGUGUUUAAGUUUUGGUAAACAAAAGAUGUCAGUUUUCAAAUUUUGUCGAACUCCAGUGCCUCUAAGACUAAGACUAACCAAAGAGGUAGACAAAUUGAGCUGACUCAUCGAACUAGAAGUCAUAUUUACCUUAUCCAAAAUAAGCUCCCUUAAAACUGUUGUAUUUUGGAGGAACUUCUUCCAAUUGCUCUCUUCCCACGUUAACAAAGUAUCAGAGAGAUCAAGUGAUUCUAAUUUGGAAAGUUGUGAGAUCUGGGAAGGAAUUUCACCUCGAAAGAGAAAAUCACCAGACAAAUUGAGGUGUGUGAGGCUCACAAACCCACCAAAAGGAAAUGAUAAUUGAGAGGAGAAAUAAUUGAAAGCAAGAUUAAGUGAUUGAAGAUGAGAAAGACGAAAAAGUGAAGUGUUUGGAAUGAUUUCACCUAAAAGACCACUGCAGGUGAGGUCAAGGCCUAUGACGUGACCAGAGAUGGGGUGGCAAGUAACCCCAGACCAUGAGCAACAAUCUGUUCCAUUUUCCCAUGUUCUGGUCUUUGGAACAAGAUUAUCACAACGGAAAUGAUAAUUGUUAUCACUGAAAGAGGUCUUGAAUUGGAGCAAGGCAGUUUUCUCAUGAAGAUGACAUAAGGAAUGGGAGGAUGAGAAGUGAAAGAGCAACAAAUGACAACACAGAAAAAGCAACCACCCCACCCAUGACUCCAUUUGAAGCUGUGUUUAAGGAAAAGGGUUCACUGUGAUUUACUUAGAGCAAUCAAAGAUGAAGAUUUAUAGCCAAAAUAAAAUAGUUUGUCUUCAUUAAUGUUUUCAAUUUCCAAUUUGUCUUGGUCAGUGCCUGCAAAGACGGGGCAUUUGGAAUUGACUUUGGAGUCAAUGCCCCAAACAAUGGGACUUGGGUUUACUAUUCCAACUACAAACAAUAAAGAGAUCACAUGCCAUAUAAAUAUUUUAAAUAAACAAUAUGAGUUUAAUAUCACAUCAUUUUGCAAUAAUUACCUACAAAAUCACUUUUUUACUAAAAUUAAUAAAAUAAAUUUUUUUGAUGAUAAAAUGCAUGGAAAAACAUGGAUAAUAAAAUUUGUAAAAUGAUGAUGAUUUAACGGCAAAAAGUGCAAUUAAGUAAAUAUUUUAUUCUUCCUUAUACUCUUUAUCGUUAAUAAAAUGCUAUAUAUUUUUAGACACAUUUUCUAUUUCUUUUUGUAGCAUUUUUUAUUUAUUUAUUUGUCAUCUGUUAACCAUAUAAAUAAUAGUGUUUAAAAAAAUAAAGAUAUUGAUUUGAUAAUAAAUUGUUUAAGAAUUAAAAGAUAUUUACUAAACUUGUUGAAGAGAAUAAACUUAAUUAUAAAUACUAUGUACGAGGUCAACAAUAAAAAGUUUGCUAUACAGUAAUAAAUAUAUUUUUUAAUUAAUGCCUUGCUAUUAAUUUUUUUUCUUUUCUUUAUUUUCUUAGUAUAGUUUUCUAGGUUAUAACGUGUUUUUUUAGUUGAGUGUGUAGACUCAACGACUUUAAUUUUAAUGCAUUGGGCCCUUUUGACUUUCGUGUGUAAAUUAAUGACUUUUAUGAAAGAUGAAGCUUCAAGAAUUUAGAGAAGGCAAUUAAUUAAUUCAUGUUUUGGCAAUGUUAGGUUAGAGUAGAGAGAAAUAUAGCAUCAUUUUUUUGUCUUGUUCAAUCAGACUUCUGAUACAAAAAUUUAAUGUUAUUUAUGCAAAAAGUGAAUAGAAUCUAUUAAAUUAUUUUUAUCUAAGAACUUCCAAGUAUUUCAUAUGAUUUCUUUACUUCACAAUGAAUUUGUAAUAAGACCUUUAGCCUUUUGUGUUAAUGGUUUCAUUUAUUUCAAAAUUAAAAAAUGAAUUAGUUAAGGUGACUGCAUAAGGAAUAUAAUAAUAAACAAAUUAUAACAAUAAAUUAAUUUAUUGUUUUAAUUGAUUUCAUAGAAUUAGAUUUAUUUGGGUUUUAAUUAUUAUUUUUGUUAAUUUUAUGUUUAUAAAGUAAAUGGUUUAAAAGAAGUGUUUAUCUUUAUUAUUGAGUCAAAUAUGCAAAAGUCUAAGUGGUUUCUUUGAAUUAAAACAGAAAACAAUAUCUAAGGUGAAGAAAGGGGAAAUAAAAUCUACAAUAUCUUCAUAAACAGAAUUGGAAUAAAAUAUUUUGCAAAAUACAAUAAUGAUGUAAAGUUAAAAACGAUUAACAAAAUCUAAAUUACAAUAUUUUUUCAAGAUCCUUGGAGCAUAAAAGCUUAUAAAAAGACACAAGCCUCAAAGAGAGAGGAGAGAACUUCAUAGGAUUUUCUUAGUUUAUUUUCUUCUUUGUAAUUCUUUUGUUUAUUUUACCUCUGCAUGGAAAGUUAAACCUUUUUAGUUGAUUUCUUUGUAAUCCCCAUUGAGUUAUGAUGUUUUCAUCAAUAUAAGUUUCAUUUUUCAAUUCUCUACAACAGUUGUUUUUUAUCUUCUAAUCUACUGAAAAACUGGUUUUUGUUAGAUGUUGUACUUGAACUCAUGAUUGAGAGUUUUCCUUACUUUAAGCUUUGGUUUCUUAAUUAAUUCGCAUUGUUCUAAUUAUUAAAAAAAAAUUACAUGAAAGACAAAAUUAGCUAUAUGAAUAUAAUUCCAGAAUGGGAAUGUGCAAUUUCUUUGAUCGCACAAAGAGUAAAUAUAGUAAAGUUUGAAGACAAAAAGAGCAAAUGUAUCAUCAAUGAGCAAAAGGAAUAUUGCUGUUUUAUAUUUACUUGGAAUUUUUUCUGCAUUUGUUUGAUUUUUCAACAACAGAUUUUUUAAGAUUAAGAAAAUUAUAAUUUUAGUCAUAAUGCACAAUGUCAUUUUCCAUUUGGCUCUUGCAUUAAAAGAAUUAUUGGGACGCAAAUUCUAAUAAUCUUCUAUCAUAAAAUUAAAAAAUGUUACAGGUCAUUGAUUUAAAUUAAAAUAUUUUAUGAACACAACUCAUUUUAAAUUAAGAAUAAGCAUACAUUUAUUUUCACAAAUUACACUUUUCAUGGCUCAACUUUGAGGAACCAAAUGGGUUUAACCUAACUUUUCCCAAAUAAAAAGUUGAUUAUUUCCAAUAGUUUAUAUAUGGAUAACAAUACAAUUCAGAAAGUGAUGCAACAUAUACUUUCUCUUUUUUAAGGAAUAAAUAAAUAACCUUUUUUUUCCAUAGCCACUGCCAUAAGAUGUGUAAGUCACAACUUUUACAUUAUUAUUUUUAAAUUCAAUGCAUUUUGAAAGAGAGAAAAAAAUUGGAGAUUAAUUAUUUUUAUUUUAUUUUUUAACUUCACAUUUUAACACACAUUAUUAUAUUAUUAAAGUGUGUUGUCAAGUGGGUAUAUUUUUUUAGAGAGGUUCCCAAAUAUUAUUUUCCAAGAGAAACUUUGGGAGAGAGGAAAUUAUGAAUGAGAGAUAAGUAGUAUAAGGUUUUUGAAAUAGUAUUGGUCUCAAAAACAGUUUUGAAAUUCCAUGUCACAAAACGACAAUGAUUUACUAGACAAACUAAUAACUUAAUAUGACAAUAAGAGAUUGCACAAACCAACUCAAAUAAGAGAUUCCCAACAUAAGUUUAAAGAUUAAAGAGGACAUUCCACAAACUAGUCCAUAUUUGAAAAAUAAUUUUGAGAGUUGUAUAUUUCAUUAAAAAAUUCCAUUUUUAUUGUAUUUUCUAUAUUUUUUGUUUUCAUGAAAAGAAGUUAUGUUAAGCAAUUAAUUAGUGGUCACCUCCAAAUUUUGAAAUGUAAAAUAGGUUACAAGAAAAUUAGUUUAUUCUUCUCAUAACAAAAUUUGAUUGGAGAGAGAAAGGAAAUGUGACAACAUAAGUAGAACACAUUUAUUUUACAACUAGAUCAAAUCUUUCAUACAAUAUGGUGUGAUAAGAUUCUUGACAUACAUUGAAAUUGAACAAGAACAAAAGCAUGGAACAUUUUCUAGUCAAGCCACAUAUCCACUAAUUUAUUAUGCUACAAUUCUCAUGACUUUCUUUUCACCUUUAUAUUAAGACCACCUCCAACCAUUUUCACAAGUCAUUCAAGCUUUCCUACAAUACAAAAAUCCAAGGCCAAUUCCAAAUAUCAUUCCACAUCCAUAUCCUAUAACCACUGGUUCCCAUCCAAAUCCAAAUCUCUCUUCUCCCCAGAAGCUUGGAAAAGAUGGAGAUUUUUGUUCAGUGUUGUUGCAAUUCAUUGACAAUGGAAAUCCACAUAAUCCCGAGUUUCC
RNAcentral lists this long non-coding RNA (13607 nucleotides) under Phaseolus vulgaris (common bean). Its description in RNAcentral is "long non-coding RNA (PVUL_LNC001920)". The record is from RNAcentral. Lineage: Eukaryota; Viridiplantae; Streptophyta; Magnoliopsida; Fabales; Fabaceae.